This is a non-coding RNA of Saimiri boliviensis boliviensis (Bolivian squirrel monkey), 1369 nucleotides long. The record is from RefSeq and is a predicted model, not a curated record. Lineage: Eukaryota; Metazoa; Chordata; Mammalia; Primates; Cebidae.
AUGGAGAGUUUAAGGCAGGCGUCCCCAAACUACGGCCCCGCGGGCCACAUGCGGCCCCCUGAGGCCAUUUAUCCGGCCCCCUGCCGCACUUCAGGAAGGGGCACCUCUUUCAUUGGUGCUAGGAAGUCCACGUAGUCCUUCAAGGGCCUGGGCGGCGGCUCUGUGCGUUUUGGGCCGGGGGUCGCCUUUCGCGCCCAGUAUGCACAGGGGCUCCGCAGCUGCGGCGUGUCGGUGUCCUCCUCCCGCUUCGUGUCCUCGCCCUCCUCGGGGGGCUACGACGGCGUCCUGGCCGCGGCUGAAGGGCUGCUGGCGGGCAACGAGAAGCUCGUCGCAGAACCUCAACGACCGCCUGGCCUCCUACCUGGACAAGGUGCGCGCCCUGGAGGCGGCCAAAGGCGAGUUGGCGGUGAAGAUCCGCGACUGGUACCAGAAGCAGGAGACUGGGUCCUCCCACGACUACAGCCGCUACUACAAGACCAUCCAGGACCUGCGGGACAAGAUUCUUGGUGCCACCAUUGAGAACUCCAGGAUUGUCCUGCAGAUCCACAAUGCCCGUCUGGCCGCAGAUGACUUCCGAACCAAGUUUGAGACCGAGCAGGCUUUGCGCAUGAGCGUGGAGGCCAGCAUCAAAGCCCUGCGCAGGGGGCUGGAGGAGCUGAUCCUGGCCAGGAGCGACCUGGAGAUGCAGAUUGAAACGCUGAAAGAAGAGCUGGCCUACCUGAAGAAGAACCACGAGGAGGAAAUCAGCGUGCUGAGGGGCCAAGUGGGAGGCCAGGUCAGUGUGGAGGUGGAUUCGGCUCCGGGUGCCGAUCUCGUCAAGAUCCUGAGUGACAUGCAAAGCCAAUGUGAGGUCCUGGCGGAGCAGAACCGGAAGGAUGCUGAAGCCUGUUUCACCAGCCGGACUGAAGAACCGAACCGGGAGGUCGCUGGCCACACGGAGCAGCUCCAGAUGAGCAAGACCGAGGUCACUGACCUUGGCGCACCCUCCAGCGUCUUGAGAUCGAGCUGCAGUCACUGCUGAGCAUGAAAGCCCGCUUGGAAGGCACACUGGCAGAAACGGAGGCGCACUUUGGAGUUCAGCUGGCGGAGAUCAGCGAUAUUGAAGCCCUGCUGGGCGAUAUGCUUGCGCGCUGAUAGUGAGCGGCAGAAUCAGGAGUACCAACGGCUACUGGUCGUCAAGUUGCGGCUGGAGCAGGAGAUCGCCACCUACCGCAGCCUGCUCGAGGGUAAGGAAGAUCGCUACAACAACCUGUCCGCCUCCAAGGUCCUCCGAGGAGGCCGCAGGCCCGGGGCUUCUGCUGUCCUUCAGAGGGUGUCUCCUGGGUGGGCAGAUGGGAAGGAAGGGACACUUAGCCUGCGCUACCCCUGA